RNAcentral lists this ribosomal RNA (497 nucleotides) under uncultured bacterium. RNAcentral's name for it is "partial 16S ribosomal RNA". It matches the Rfam family "Bacterial small subunit ribosomal RNA", at positions 28 to 507 of the family's 1533-position model. The record is from RNAcentral.
GAUGAACGCUGGCGGCGUGCUUAAUACAUGCAAGUCGAGCGAACAGACGAGGAGCUUGCUCCUUUGACGUUAGCCGCGGGGGGGUGUAUAACGUGUGGAUAAUCCCCUUAACAUACUGGGAUAACUUGGGGACACCGGCGAUAACACCGGAUAAUAUAUUGAUCCGCAUGGUUCAAUAGUGAAAGACGGUUUUGGUGUAUCUUAUAGCUGGUUACCCGCUGCAUUGGGUAGUUGGUAAGGUAACGGCUUACCAAGGCAACGAUGCGUAGCCGACGUGAGCGAGGGAUAGGCCACACUGGAACUGAACCACGGUCCAGGCUCCUACGGGAGGCAGCAGAAGGGAAUCUGCCGCAAUGGGCGAAAGCCUGACGGAGCAGCGCCGCGUGUGUGAUGAAGGCCCUCGGAUCGUAAAACUGGGUUAUGAGUGGAAAACAAAUUUGUAAGGAACUAUGCACGUCUUGACGGUACCUAAUCAGGAAGCCACGGCUAACUACGUG